AUGUGGUUUAAUUCGAAGCAACGCGAAGAACCUUACCAGGUCUUGACAUCCCGAUGCUAUUUCUAGAGAUAGAAAGUUACUUCGGUACAUCGGUGACAGGUGGUGCAUGGUUGUCGUCAGCUCGUGUCGUGAGAUGUUGGGUUAAGUCCCGCAACGAGCGCAACCCCUAUUGUUAGUUGCCAUCAUUCAGUUGGGCACUCUAGCGAGACUGCCGGUAAUAAACCGGAGGAAGGUGGGAUGACGUCAAAUCAUCAUGCCCCUUAUGACCUGGGCUACACACGUGCUACAAUGGUUGGUACAACGAGUUGCGAGUCGGUGACGGCGAGCUAAUCUCUUAAAGCCAAUCUCAGUUCGGAUUGUAGGCUGCAACUCGCCUACAUGAAGUCGGAAUCGCUAGUAAUCGCGGAUCAGCACGCCGCGGUGAAUACGUUCCCGGGCCUU
This 441-nucleotide ribosomal RNA is filed under the name uncultured Streptococcus sp. Its description in RNAcentral is "bacterial SSU rRNA". It matches the Rfam family "Bacterial small subunit ribosomal RNA", at positions 939 to 1382 of the family's 1533-position model. Lineage: Bacteria; Bacillati; Bacillota; Bacilli; Lactobacillales; Streptococcaceae. The record is from RNAcentral.